UUUACUUCUUUGGAAUAAGACAGCCCCCUUGGCCAUUUUUUCCAGGGAAAACUUUCCUGAUCUCCAGGGCUGAUGUGCAAUUCCCUUAGAUAGUCUGGUAGUCAUCCCUGCAGCAGAUACAAGCUAGUUUUAUUCCAUAUUGUUCCCACUGAUUUACCUAUCCCUAUGCCCAUUACACAUCCAUUCUGAAGGCAGACCAUUUUCAGUAGCUUGCAUAGUGCUUGACAUGCUGCAAUGAAAACCUGCACAUGCACGCACGCAAGGAAGUGGAGUACUUGUCAACAGCCACAAUCCUCCUAACCAAACUAUAUGCACUGAACUCAUGAAAUCCUUUCAUUUUGAAAUGCAUGACCUUGGGCUUGACAAGUCCCCUUGCUAAUCCUUGUCUCCUUCAUUUCUGGAAUAAAGCUGGAGAUAGAAUGUUGCUGUGUGAUAAUACAUGAUUGUGUGCACCCAGUGUCAGCAUUGCGCUGCCCAUGGACUGCCCGUGGGCCGACACUCAACGUUAGUUACCAUGCCAUCAGCACUGAUGGCUCCAUCAUGAGCUGUGUGAUAUAUUAAUUUUAGCAUCAUCUGCUAAUAGGUUAAUCAAUCAACCAGGAUACAUGGCCAAAGUAACUAUACUCUAUUUGAGCUUGAUAUCAACUCUGAGUUUAAAACAAUGUGAGCAGGUGUUUUUUUUAUAGAGCUGGUGUUGAUAUACUAUUAGCAUGUUCCGGAUGUGACCAAUUGAGAUGAGGGGUGUCAUCUCUGGACGAGGGAAUCUGUUGAGUGGUAAAUUGUAGUCAAGACAACUUGGACUGCACUUUGAAGAACUCCUUUGAUAAGAGGGGGCAGCAGUGAAUGAGUUGACUUCAAAAUGUUCAUGGAAAAGGAAAUUCUGUAAAAAGUGAAGCAUGUGCAAAAAUGUGCAGUUUUUCUAAAGUGCACAUUCUCCAUGAACUUUUUGAGUACUCCUCACAAGCACGGGCUUCAGAAAUGUUGGCAACAACAACAAAAAGUUCGCGAACUUCUUGAAGACUCUUCCUUACAGGAAUGAUCUGCAGCCCACUGUGCGGUUACCAAUUCACAGUGAAUUUGCACACUUUUGUAGGAGCCGAGAUCUGUGAGUUAACUCCAAGAUCGUCUCUCCUAUACAUUAUGGGAUCAAAAUUUAAAAUCUGCAAAGGAGAGGGCUUCAACUGCAUUCCAUUGUAGGAAAACCAAGUAGUAGGUGUGUCUUUCCAUCCCUCAAUCAGUUUGCAGUGACAUUUGGACCGCUUUGCUUUCCUUUCUCUUCUUUUAUGCUAAAUUUCCAAAGUAUAAUGUGCUAUAUAGAUAGCUAGAUAGAGAUCUUUCAAUCGAGAACCAAUUUCCAACAGCAAUACCACCUGUGAACAGCAGCCUUUUGAUGAACAGAUCAAGUUCUGGAGACUGUAUUAAGAAGUGAACACUAACAUACUUUCAUUGAGAAGUCAGGGCUUUCCCAUGUCCUACCUACUCUGCGGUGAAAUGAAGGUCUUCCAAGUGAGGCAGUGAUGAACACUGCGGAUGUGGGCAAGUCAUCUUUCAUUGCUGUGUUAUUUUGCUUAGAGCUCCAACCGCAACAUUAUGUCUUAAAACUUGUCAAAUUGUGCACAGUACACUGACUUCCGAGGAGAAUAAUGGCUUCUCCAAAAAAUAUUUAAAAAAUCAGACAUUUCUGGUGGAAGGAGGCAUUAUACCUCAAAACCCCUGCAGAUAAAUGAUAAUUAAGAAUGACAUUUACUCAACAGAGUGGGCAGGAAACAACAUUGUAUAUCAGCUAUGUGUUUAAUGGUUGCAGUUUCAUGCCUCUAAACACAACUAGUAAAAGGCCAGGCCAACAGCCUUUAGGAGGUUAGUAUAGAUUUUAUCUUGGGAAGGCAACUCUAAAGAUGUAUCUUUCUGUUUCCUGAGAACUUUUUUUUUGCAAAUAAGAACAAAAUAGUUUCCUAGUUGUGGGAAAAUAUUACAGAAACAGCUGUCUUCCCUUUGGGAGAUAUAGAACAAAAUCAACAGGAGUUGCACAUUGAUUGUACACAUGGAGUGUGUUCCCUGCAGCACAGAAUUUUUUGAGACCCAAGAAGGCUGCUGCUGCCUCAUCUCAUGUUACAGAGAAGGGUUUGUCUGUGCUUAUAGAACAGAGUUGUGCGGGGAGGUAGGCUGGGAGUUAUCCAGGGAGGGACACUGAAGGAGGGACUUACAAGCUCAGAGCUCCUUACUGACCUCACCACUACUAAUCUUGGCCUUGCUCUGAAACCCUGCAACUGACUGGUCAUUUCAUGGACGAGGUAUCAGCAGGUGUAGUGAUUUCUCCAAGAUCUCACAGCCCAUUAAUGGCAGAUCCAAUGCCAAGAAGGGGAAACUGCUGAUUGUAAAGAUAACCAAAAUAAAUGAUGACAUUUCCUCUAUGCAACAUCUGGAUCAUGGGGGAGGCAUGGAGAAUCAUCAGAACUCUAUCAUAAGAUUAUUGGUUAUCAGGCUUCUUUAUGGAUUGGAAGACAUUUUGACAGUAUUGGAAAACCCCUUCUGGUGACUGAUCCGUUAUAGGAUUGAGUGCCCCAUGGAGUACACAGACCUCCUGGGAUGGAAGGAAGGGAUAUGCAUUGCAACCUAUAUGGGUUUGCUGGCCCCAGGCUGCAUUGUCCCCAUGAAUAAUCUCUGAUCAGAGAAUAGUAAUUAAGACGUGGCAAUGCCCACUUAGUAAAUUAGCUAAAUUGGCAAAACUCAAUUUAAACAGCAAUUUUAUCUCCAGUGAUAAAAUUAUAACAGCACCCUUCACUUAAUGAGCCAGACACUUAAUAAUUCAAACAUCCUUAGAGAAAAAAAAAUCAAACCACACCUCUCCAUCACAAGUGGGUUUCCCACAGCUCUGCUGCUGCUGCUCUUCCACAGGUACUCCAAGGCUCUGUGGGAUCGGCAUGAUCUCUGGUGAACAGAGGAAGAGGUGAGAUGUCCUUUCUAACAAGCUUUGUACACAGCCAUGUCCACUUGUUUACCAACUGCAGCUGCUAUCAUGCUACAGUGAAAGGAAGAGCUGUUGUGAGUGCAGGAACCUUAUGGUCCUCACAACCUAUGUAUUUAUGGUCUGGCUCUUUAAGAGUCAUGGAUGUGGCAAAGAGUGCUGCACCUGAGAUUUGGAUGGCACCCUGGAUCCAUCACCCCCUGACUGUGUGGUCUUGAAUGGAUACUUCCCACUUCCCUGACCUGUGGUUUCCUUAAAUGUGCAAUGGAGAUCAGCUAGAGUCUGUCUGCUGACAAGGUGAAAAUUCUCGGAGUGGAGCCAUGUUUAUCUGUUCAUGGCAAGACAGAGCUGAUAAUACUGAUAACAAUAAUGAUGGACAGAAUGUGUGGUUGUAUACUUAGCAUGGACCUAUCCUGACCUCCUUAUAUGCAUCCAAUCAUGUAAUACCCACAGCAACCCAAUGAGAUAGGUAUUAUAAUUUUCUAUUUUUGCAAUUAGAGAGAAGAGUCUUUAUCAUUCCCUAUCCCUUUUUUAAAAAACUCUUACUUAUUCACCUUCGUUCUGUAAUAAUUCUGCCCGGUAGCAUCUCUUCUACUGGAUGGAAACUGUCCAAGGGCGACAUUCUGAUGUGCCUUAGUACACCCUGCAGGCGUUGGAGCAGUGACAGCUACCCCACUUGGUCACCAAUCUCAAUGAGAUCGAAUGUUCCUUCUCUCUCGCAGAUAGUGAGUCUCGCUGUCUCCAUUCUGCCAGCUGUUUCUCACUUCUCUGCUUUCAUAUCUUCUCCUGCCCUUGAUGGUAUAAUGGGGAAAGAGCAGACCAUGGACUUAACCUUUACGUGUAGCAAGAGUAAACACUCAGCAGAUGAAAAUCUUUAGACUCUGGGAGCUGUGAAGUUUUACAACAGAUACAGCCAU
Long non-coding RNA from Ochotona curzoniae (black-lipped pika), 3882 nucleotides. RefSeq lists it as uncharacterized. The transcript is spliced from 2 exons. The record is from RefSeq and is a predicted model, not a curated record. NCBI's taxonomy places the organism in Eukaryota, Metazoa, Chordata, Mammalia, Lagomorpha, Ochotonidae.